UCUGACGGAGCACGCCGCGUGAGUGAUGAAGGCUUUCGGGUCGUAAAACUCUGUCNGUUNGGGAAGAACAAGUGCUAGUUGAAUAAGCUGGCACCUUGACGGUACCUAACCAGAAAGCCACGGCUAACUACGUGCCAGCAGCCGCGGUAAUACGUAGGUGGCAAGCGUUAUCCGGAAUUAUUGGGCGUAAAGCGCGCGCAGGUGGUUUCUUAAGUCUGAUGUGAAAGCCCACGGCUCAACCGUGGAGGGUCAUUGGAAACUGGGAGACUUGAGUGCAGAAGAGGAAAGUGGAAUUCCAUGUGUAGCGGUGAAAUGCGUAGAGAUAUGGAGGAACACCAGUGGCGAAGGCGACUUUCUGGUCUGUAACUGACACUGAGGCGCGAAAGCGUGGGGAGCAAACAGGAUUAGAUACCCUGGUAGUCCACGCCGUAAACGAUGAGUGCUAAGUGUUAGAGGGUUUCCGCCCUUUAGUGCUGAAGUUAACGCA
RNAcentral lists this ribosomal RNA (487 nucleotides) under Bacillus paramycoides. RNAcentral describes it as "bacterial SSU rRNA". It matches the Rfam family "Bacterial small subunit ribosomal RNA", at positions 382 to 859 of the family's 1533-position model. The record is from RNAcentral. Lineage: Bacteria; Bacillati; Bacillota; Bacilli; Caryophanales; Bacillaceae.